UACGAAGGGGGCGAGCGUUGUUCGGAAUUACUGGGCGUAAAGGGCGCGCAGGCGGCUCUGAAAGUCAGAUGUGAAAGCCCCGGGCUUAACCUGGGAAGUGCUUUUGAUACUGCAGAGCUUGAAUGUGGGAGAGGGUGGUGGAAUCCAGGUGUAGUGGUGAAAUACGUAGAUAUCUGGAGGAACACCGGUGGCGAAGGCGGCUACCUGGCCCAACAUUGACGCUGAGACCCGAAGCAUGGG
This 240-nucleotide ribosomal RNA is filed under the name uncultured bacterium. RNAcentral's name for it is "partial 16S ribosomal RNA". It matches the Rfam family "Bacterial small subunit ribosomal RNA", at positions 524 to 765 of the family's 1533-position model. The record is from RNAcentral.